RNAcentral lists this ribosomal RNA (493 nucleotides) under uncultured bacterium. RNAcentral describes it as "bacterial SSU rRNA". It matches the Rfam family "Bacterial small subunit ribosomal RNA", at positions 34 to 518 of the family's 1533-position model. The record is from RNAcentral.
CGCUAGCGGCAGGCCUAACACAUGCAAGUCGAGGGGCAGCAGGGGGUAGCAAUACCCCGCUGGCGACCGGCGGACGGGUGCGUAACGCGUAUGCAACCUACCCGUAACAGGGGAAUAACGGAGGGAAACCUCCACUAAUGCCCCAUAUGGUCAGGGGACCGCAUGGUUUCGUGACGAAAGCUUCGGUGGUUACGGACGGGCAUGCGUGGCAUUAGGCGGUUGGCGGGGUAACGGCCCACCAAACCUACGAUGCCUAGGGGAGCUGAGAGGCUAAUCCCCCACACUGGUACUGAGACACGGACCAGACUCCUACGGGAGGCAGCAGUGAGGAAUAUUGGUCAAUGGACGGAAGUCUGAACCAGCCAUGCCGCCGUGAAGGAAGACGGCCCUAUGGGUUGUAAACUUCUUUUAGCCGGGAGUAAUAAGGCGCACGGGCUGCGCCGAUGAAAGUACCGGCGGAAUAAGCAUCGGCUAACUCCGUGCCAGCAGCGGC